GCGCAGCCUGAUGCAGCCAUGCCGCGUGUGUGAAGAAGGCCUUCGGGUUGUAAAGCACUUUCAGUCAGGAGGAAAGGUUAGUAGUUAAUACCUGCUAGCUGUGACGUUACUGACAGAAGAAGCACCGGCUAACUCCGUGCCAGCAGCCGCGGUAAUACGGAGGGUGCGAGCGUUAAUCGGAAUUACUGGGCGUAAAGCGUACGCAGGCGGUUUGUUAAGCGAGAUGUGAAAGCCCCGGGCUCAACCUGGGAACUGCAUUUCGAACUGGCAAACUAGAGUGUGAUAGAGGGUGGUAGAAUUUCAGGUGUAGCGGUGAAAUGCGUAGAGAUCUGAAGGAAUACCGAUGGCGAAGGCAGCCACCUGGGUCAACACUGACGCUCAUGUACGAAAGCGUGGGGAGCAAACAGGAUUAGAUACCCUGGUAGUCCACGCCGUAAACGAUGUCUACUAGAAGCUCGGAACCUCGGUUCUGUUUUUCAAAGCUAACGCAUUAAGUAGACCGCCUGGGGAGUACGGCCGCAAGGUUAAAACUCAAAUG
Molecule: ribosomal RNA, 538 nt
Filed under: Pseudoalteromonas undina
Lineage: Bacteria; Pseudomonadati; Pseudomonadota; Gammaproteobacteria; Alteromonadales; Pseudoalteromonadaceae
Also listed under: 1 other name
Description: bacterial SSU rRNA
Rfam family: Bacterial small subunit ribosomal RNA
Source: RNAcentral